RNAcentral lists this long non-coding RNA (3506 nucleotides) under Brassica napus (rape). Its description in RNAcentral is "long non-coding RNA (BNAP_LNC007506)". Lineage: Eukaryota; Viridiplantae; Streptophyta; Magnoliopsida; Brassicales; Brassicaceae. The record is from RNAcentral.
CAAAACAUCAUCACAAACAAUAACAACAAUAACAAUGAUUAUGACACACAAUCAGGAGGAAGAGGAAGUGUCUUCGAACAAUCAUUUUUGACACAUAACACGGAACAGGGAGAUAUGAACCUUCCUCAACAAGAACGGUUUCAAGUUCCUACGAUGGUGUCAAAUUUGUUCAGCAAUUCUACCAAUUCAAAUACCGAGACAGUUACAAGUUACAAACUACCGGCGUUGGUCGGGGGAAAUGUUAAUAACAUCUCCCAAGUUGACAAUAAUAAUGCUCAAGAUGGAGAUAUAGCGUCCACAUUUGAAUGUUUAAGGAAGCAAGAACUAAACUAUGAUGAAUGGAUAAAUUCACAACAGUGCUCUAAUUUUUUCUUCUGGGACAACCUUAACAUUAACGUGGGAGGUUCAUCUCUUGUCGGAAAUCAAGAUCCAUCAAUGACCUUGGGAUCCUCUGCCUUAUCUUCUUCUUUUCCUUCUUCGUUUUAAAUUAAUGAAUCAAUCACAUGAGAGGAACUCAUGCUAAUUUGUCUAUAUAUAAGUUUGUUUCUUUUGUUUUUUUAUUAGAGGUUGUUUUCGGACGAUAUUUACUUUCAAGCUGAUGUUGUAAUGAGUGUUCUAAAUUGUUGAUAAGGAUAUGGUGUGAAUAUAUGUUUGUGUUGUUUUCUAGCUCAUGGUUUUUCUUUUAUCCCUAAACUUAUGUAAUAAAGGACGAAGUAACCUUUCCACUAUAAAUAGUGACACUUUCUCAUUCUCUUUGUAACAAGAAACAUCUAGGGGAAUAUCUCCAAAUGAGUCUCAAAUUAGGAAAAUGCCCUUGCUUAAGUUUAGAGAGGAAUUAUCAAUAUUUUUAGGUUAAGGAUGACGAUUAAUCCCUUCGUGAAGAGAGAAGAAUUGGUAAAGUACGACGAUAUGACAAAGGGAAAGAUGUGGAAGAGGAUUUCGUACGCUUUGUUGCUGAGGUAGGUCUGCAAAUAGGAACAAUGUAGGAUAGAUUUAAACCUCAUAAUUCUUAUCCUCAUCACAUUUUUCAAUGAAGUACUAGUUGUUUUGACCGCUAAUUAUGUAACAGAUAGUCAGAAUGAUAGUAUCUAACAUAUUUAAUACUUCCUCUGUUUUUUAAUAUAAGUCGUUUUACAGAAAUUUUUAUGUUCUAAAUUAUAUGACGUUUUUCAGUUUUUUAUGUAAAAUUUAUUAACAUUUAAUGUUAUAUGACCAGUGAUAGUAUACCUUCUAUUUUAUUAUUGGUUGAUUUGUGGUUAGAUAAAUAAUUAAUGAUGUUUUUGGUUUAAAAAAAUAAAAAAUUAAUAAUUUCUUAAUUUACGUGCACAAUUCUAAAACGAUUUAUAUUAAAAAACGGAGGGAAUCAUAAAUAACACUUUUUAUUAGCAUUUAUAUUAAAUAUUAUCUUUUAAGUGGUAUAUUCUUUUUCGGUCUUCAUCAUCCCAAACUUCUUUUCAAAUCCAUAUUUGCCAGUCUCUUAUGUACUUGAAAAUGGAUGAGAGUAAAAUGAAAAUCAAUCAAUAUUAUUUCAAACUCACUCAUAACGCUUCAGAUGAGAAGAGAGAUGUAGAGUUGGAGAACCUAGAACCUCAGAGGAGAUAAAGCUGAGAGAUGCAGAACCUAUGAGAUAAGAGGAGAAAGAAUUAGAGUUUAGGACAGUGGGAAAAUAUUAGAAAGAGAGAUGGUGUUAAAAGGCUGAGGGCAUAGUUCUAACUAUUGCCACAUAUGGAUACAUAGACGCCAAUUUUCUCUUGUAACAUUUACAAAAAAUAAUAAGAAACUAAUCAUUUCUUCUUUCACAUUAUUUCCUUCCACCAUAAACAACAGAAUAUAAUAAUAGUAUAAAAAAUUAUAGUUAUACAUCCAUAUAUAUGCGUUCCCAAAAAAACACAUCCACCAUAUAUAUAUAUAUAUAUAUAUAUAUAUUUAUACUAGGGUCGGUCUGGAUUACGUCCGGAGUUUUUGUUUAAAUUCAAAUGUUGAUUAUAUAUAUAGUAUGUUUAUUUUAUUUAUAAAUAUUAUAAUUUAUUAUAAAAAUAUAAGUAGCCAAACAAUUAUAAAAUCAUUUUAAAUUAUUCAUAUUUAUAUAUAUAUAUCAUGUACUAAAUUGUUUUAAUAAUUAUGAGAAAUUCUCUUAUAUAGUCAUUUUUAGUUUAUUUUCACAAAAAUAGACUUUAAUGAAGAAAAUGACUAAAAUAAAUUUUAUUAAAAGGUAAAUAUGCACUUAUAUCCAAAGAUUAACUAAUCUAGAUUUAGUGUUUAGAGUUAAGGAGUGAGGUGGAGUGCGGUUUUGGGGAUAUGUUUUAAAUUAAAAAAAAAACAAAAAAAUAUAUAUUAAAAUUUUCAAAAUAAAAAAAAAAUUUAUUUUGGUCAUUUUAUUUUUUGAGUGCUAUUUUUGUAACAAAAACAUAAAAAAUAAUAUUUGAGAGAAUUAUCCUUGUAUUAUUAUGCAUAUCACAUAUUUAAAUUAUUUUUAUACUUUUUGAUGAUUGAUACCAGUUUUUAAUAAUAAGCUUGUUGGGUUUGGGAUACAAGCUAAAUUAUAAUAUAUUUUAUUAUUAUAUAAUCAGUUUGUAUAAAUGUAUAAAUUUAUUAGUAUUAAUAAGUUUAGACACGGUUCUAAGCAACGACCAGCCUACGGUUGAUGACUAAAGAUUUAUUAGCGUGUAGUUUCAUUCAUCUUGUUAUUUUGUCUACUUGCUUGAGCUACAUAGUAGUGUACAUUUCAAGUCACUUAAUCGAACAUUCUCAAAAUGUACGUAGUCCACCAGACGUACACACACAUGUAUGCAUUAUUAGGAAAAAGAAAAAUGUACACACGGACACGUGCGUAUAUACUCAUCUAUCAUGUAUGUGCUUAAUUGCUUAAUGUUUCUCUCAUUACUUUUGUACAUCAUUUUUCAGGUGGGCUCAUAUCGCAAGUCAUUUACCUGGAAGAACAGAUAACGAGAUAAAAAAUUAUUGGAAUUCAUGGAUCAAGAAAAAGAUACGAAAACCGCACCACCACUAUUAUCGUCAUCAACCAUCUAAAACUACCGUGACAUUGAACGUGGAAGCUACAUCAACUGUUACGGCUCUCCCCUCAACUACCACCACUUCGACCAUCGAUAACUUGCAUUUUGAUGGUUUUAUGGAUUCUCCUAACCAACUAAAUUUUCCGUAUGAUCAAGAAACUAAUGCCAAGAUUCAAGAAGCCCCUUUCUCCCAUAAACCUCAUCUUUUCAUGCUAGACACAACACUUCCUGUCCUUGAAGGAAUGUUCUCUCAAAACAUCAUCACAAACAAUAACAACAAUAACAAUGAUUAUGACACACAAUCAGGAGGAAGAGGAAGUGUCUUCGAACAAUCAUUUUUGACACAUAACACGGAACAGGGAGAUAUGAACCUUCCUCAACAAGAACGGUUUCAAGUUCCUACGAUGGUGUCAAAUUUGUUCAGCAAUUCUACCAAUUCAAAUACCGAGACAGUUACAAGUUACAAACUACCGGCGUUGGUCGGGGGAAAUG